UGGGGAAUAUUGCACAAUGGGCGCAAGCCUGAUGCAGCCAUGCCGCGUGUAUGAAGAAGGCCUUCGGGUUGUAAAGUACUUUCAGCGAGGAGGAAGGCGUUGUGGUUAAUAACCGCAGCGAUUGACGUUACUCGCAGAAGAAGCACCGGCUAACUCCGUGCCAGCAGCCGCGGUAAUACGGAGGGGGCAAGCGUGAAUCGGAAGUACUGGGCGUAAAGCGCACGCAGGCGGUCUGUCAAGUCGGAUGUGAAAUCCCCGGGCUCAACCUGGGAACUGCAUCCGAAACUGGCAGGCUAGAGUCUUGUAGAGGGGGGUAGAAUUCCAGGUGUAGCGGUGAAAUGCGUAGAGAUCUGGAGGAAUACCGGUGGCGAAGGCGGCCCCCUGGACAAAGACUGACGCUCAGGUGCGAAAGCGUGGGGAGCAAACA
This 427-nucleotide ribosomal RNA is filed under the name uncultured bacterium. Its description in RNAcentral is "partial 16S ribosomal RNA". It matches the Rfam family "Bacterial small subunit ribosomal RNA", at positions 355 to 774 of the family's 1533-position model. The record is from RNAcentral.